RNAcentral lists this transfer RNA (72 nucleotides) under Heterocephalus glaber (naked mole-rat). It matches the Rfam family "tRNA". From Rfam's summary of the family: Transfer RNA (tRNA) molecules are approximately 80 nucleotides in length. Their secondary structure includes four short double-helical elements and three loops (D, anti-codon, and T loops). Lineage: Eukaryota; Metazoa; Chordata; Mammalia; Rodentia; Bathyergidae. The record is from Rfam by way of RNAcentral.
AGGGGUGUAGUUUGGUGGCAGAGCGCCUGCUUAGCAUGCAGGACACCCUGGGUUAGAUCCCCAGCACCGUUA